GAUGAACGCUGGCGGCGUGCUUAACACAUGCAAGUCGAACGAGAAGUGAAGACGGAAACCUUCGGGCGGAAGGCUUUAUUUCGAGUGGCGGACGGGUGAGUAACGCGUGGGUAACCUGCCUCAUACAGGGGGAUAACAGUUGGAAACGACUGUUAAUACCGCAUAAGACCACAGCACCGCAUGGUGCGGGGGUAAAAACUCCGGUGGUAUGAGAUGGACCCGCGUUAGAUUAGCCAGUUGGCGGGGUAACGGCCCACCAAAGCGACGAUCGAGAGCCGAUCUGAGAGGCUGACCGGCCACAUUGGGAAUGAGACACGGCCCAAACUCCUACGGGGGGCAGCAGUGGGGAAUAUUGCACACGGGGGGAAAACCUGAUGCAGCGACGCCGCGUGAGUGAAGAAGUAUUUCGGUAUGUAAAGCUCUAUCAGCAGGGAAGAAAAUGACGGUACCUGAGAAAGAAGCCCCGGCUAACUACGUG
Molecule: ribosomal RNA, 478 nt
Filed under: uncultured bacterium
Lineage: Bacteria
Description: partial 16S ribosomal RNA
Rfam family: Bacterial small subunit ribosomal RNA
Source: RNAcentral